This 464-nucleotide unclassified non-coding RNA is filed under the name uncultured fungus. RNAcentral describes it as "partial contains small subunit ribosomal RNA, internal transcribed spacer 1, and 5.8S ribosomal RNA". The stretch from base 1 to 73 matches the Rfam family "Eukaryotic small subunit ribosomal RNA", at positions 1759 to 1831 of the family's 1831-position model. The record is from RNAcentral. Lineage: Eukaryota; Fungi.
GCAAACUUGGUCAUUUAGAGGAAGUAAAAGUCGUAACAAGGUUUCCGUAGGUGAACCUGCGGAAGGAUCAUUAUCAACCUUAGCGGGACCUUCAAUGUAGGAGGUUUUCGCGCAUGUAUAUAUUUAAAACCAACUCUAAUGAAUCAAAAAUGAAUUAAUAUUUAUUGAAAUAAAUAUAUAAAAAAGAUCACUUUCAACAACGGAUCUCUUGGCUCUCUAAGAGACAGGCAAACUUGGUCAUUUAGAGGAAGUAAAAGUCGUAACAAGGUUUCCGUAGGUGAACCUGCGGAAGGAUCAUUAUCAACCUUAGCGGGACCUUCAAUGUAGGAGGUUUUCGCGCAUGUAUAUAUUUAAAACCAACUCUAAUGAAUCAAAAAUGAAUUAAUAUUUAUUGAAAUAAAUAUAUAAAAAAGAUCACUUUCAACAACGGAUCUCUUGGCUCUCGCAUCGAUGAAGAACGCAGC